This 163-nucleotide ribosomal RNA is filed under the name Vahlodea atropurpurea. RNAcentral describes it as "5.8S ribosomal RNA". It matches the Rfam family "5.8S ribosomal RNA". From Rfam's summary of the family: 5.8S ribosomal RNA (5.8S rRNA) is a component of the large subunit of the eukaryotic ribosome. It is transcribed by RNA polymerase I as part of the 45S precursor that also contains 18S and 28S rRNA. The record is from RNAcentral. Lineage: Eukaryota; Viridiplantae; Streptophyta; Magnoliopsida; Poales; Poaceae.
ACGACUCUCGGCAACGGAUAUCUCGGCUCUCGCAUCGAUGAAGAACGUAGCGAAAUGCGAUACCUGGUGUGAAUUGCAGAAUCCCGCGAACCAUCGAGUCUUUGAACGCAAGUUGCGCCCGAGGCCACUCGGCCGAGGGCACGCCUGCCUGGGCGUCACGCCA